UACGAAGGGGGCUAGCGUUGUUCGGAAUCACUGGGCGUAAAGCGCACGUAGGCGGGUCUUUAAGUCAGGGGUGAAAUCCUGGAGCUCAACUCCAGAACUGCCUUUGAUACUGAGGAUCUUGAGUUCGGGAGAGGUGAGUGGAACUGCGAGUGUAGAGGUGAAAUUCGUAGAUAUUCGCAAGAACACCAGUGGCGAAGGCGGCUCACUGGCCCGAUACUGACGCUGAGGCACGAAAGCGUGGGGAGCAAACAGG
RNAcentral lists this ribosomal RNA (253 nucleotides) under uncultured bacterium. RNAcentral's name for it is "partial 16S ribosomal RNA". It matches the Rfam family "Bacterial small subunit ribosomal RNA", at positions 524 to 776 of the family's 1533-position model. The record is from RNAcentral.